AAUGGGUCAGCGACUUAUAUUCUGUAGCAAGGUUAACCGAAUAGGGGAGCCGAAGGGAAACCGAGUCUUAACUGGGCGUUAAGUUGCAGGGUAUAGACCCGAAACCCGGUGAUCUAGCCAUGGGCAGGUUGAAGGUUGGGUAACACUAACUGGAGGACCGAACCGACUAAUGUUGAAAAAUUAGCGGAUGACUUGUGGCUGGGGGUGAAAGGCCAAUCAAACCGGGAGAUAGCUGGUUCUCCCCGAAAGCUAUUUAGGUAGCGCCUCGUGAAUUCAUCUCCGGGGGUAGAGCACUGUUUCGGCAAGGGGGUCAUCCCGACUUACCAACCCGAUGCAAACUGCGAAUACCGGAGAAUGUUAUCACGGGAGACACACGGCGGGUGCUAACGUCCGUCGUGAAGAGGGAAACAACCCAGACCGCCAGCUAAGGUCCCAAAGUCAUGGUUAAGUGGGAAACGAUGUGGGAAGGCCCAGACAGCCAGGAUGUUGGCUUAGAAGCAGCCAUCAUUUAAAGAAAGCGUAAUAGCUCACUGGUCGAGUCGGCCUGCGCGGAAGAUGUAACGGGGCUAAACCAUGCACCGAAGCUGCGGCAGCGACACUGUGUGUUGUUGGGUAGGGGAGCGUUCUGUAAGCCUGUGAAGGUGUGCUGUGAGGCAUGCUGGAGGUAUCAGAAGUGCGAAUGCUGACAUAAGUAACGAUAAAGCGGGUGAAAAGCCCGCUCGCCGGAAGACCAAGGGUUCCUGUCCAACGUUAAUCGGGGCAGGGUGAGUCGACCCCUAAGGCGAGGCCGAAAGGCGUAGUCGAUGGGAAACAGGUUAAUAUUCCUGUACUUGGUGUUACUGCGAAGGGGGGACGGAGAAGGCUAUGUUGGCCGGGCGACGGUUGUCCCGGUUUAAGCGUGUAGGCUGGUUUUCCAGGCAAAUCCGGAAAAUCAAGGCUGAGGCGUGAUGACGAGGCACUACGGUGCUGAAGCAACAAAUGCCCUGCUUCCAGGAAAAGCCUCUAAGCAUCAGGUAACAUCAAAUCGUACCCCAAACCGACACAGGUGGUCAGGUAGAGAAUACCAAGGCGCUUGAGAGAACUCGGGUGAAGGAACUAGGCAAAAUGGUGCCGUAACUUCGGGAGAAGGCACGCUGAUAUGUAGGUGAAGUCCCUCGCGGAUGGAGCUGAAAUCAGUCGAAGAUACCAGCUGGCUGCAACUGUUUAUUAAAAACACAGCACUGUGCAAACACGAAAGUGGACGUAUACGGUGUGACGCCUGCCCGGUGCCGGAAGGUUAAUUGAUGGGGUCAGCGCAAGCGAAGCUCUUGAUCGAAGCCCCGGUAAACGGCGGCCGUAACUAUAACGGUCCUAAGGUAGCGAAAUUCCUUGUCGGGUAAGUUCCGACCUGCACGAAUGGCGUAAUGAUGGCCAGGCUGUCUCCACCCGAGACUCAGUGAAAUUGAACUCGCUGUGAAGAUGCAGUGUACCCGCGGCAAGACGGAAAGACCCCGUGAACCUUUACUAUAGCUUGACACUGAACAUUGAGCCUUGAUGUGUAGGAUAGGUGGGAGGCUUUGAAGUGUGGACGCCAGUCUGCAUGGAGCCGACCUUGAAAUACCACCCUUUAAUGUUUGAUGUUCUAACGUGGACCCGUGAUCCGGGUUGCGGACAGUGUCUGGUGGGUAGUUUGACUGGGGCGGUCUCCUCCUAAAGAGUAACGGAGGAGCACGAAGGUUGGCUAAUCCUGGUCGGACAUCAGGAGGUUAGUGCAAUGGCAUAAGCCAGCUUGACUGCGAGCGUGACGGCGCGAGCAGGUGCGAAAGCAGGUCAUAGUGAUCCGGUGGUUCUGAAUGGAAGGGCCAUCGCUCAACGGAUAAAAGGUACUCCGGGGAUAACAGGCUGAUACCGCCCAAGAGUUCAUAUCGACGGCGGUGUUUGGCACCUCGAUGUCGGCUCAUCACAUCCUGGGGCUGAAGUAGGUCCCAAGGGUAUGGCUGUUCGCCAUUUAAAGUGGUACGCGAGCUGGGUUUAGAACGUCGUGAGACAGUUCGGUCCCUAUCUGCCGUGGGCGCUGGAGAACUGAGGGGGGCUGCUCCUAGUACGAGAGGACCGGAGUGGACGCAUCACUGGUGUUCGGGUUGUCAUGCCAAUGGCACUGCCCGGUAGCUAAAUGCGGAAGAGAUAAGUGCUGAAAGCAUCUAAGCACGAAACUUGCCCCGAGAUGAGUUCUCCCUGACCCUUUAAGGGUCCUGAAGGAACGUUGAAGACGACGACGUUGAUAGGCCGGGUGUGUAAGCGCAGCGAUGCGUUGAGCUAACCGGUACUAAUGAACCGUGAGGCUUAACCUU
This 2330-nucleotide ribosomal RNA is filed under the name Escherichia coli. RNAcentral describes it as "partial 23S ribosomal RNA". It matches the Rfam family "Bacterial large subunit ribosomal RNA", at positions 614 to 2925 of the family's 2925-position model. The record is from RNAcentral. Lineage: Bacteria; Pseudomonadati; Pseudomonadota; Gammaproteobacteria; Enterobacterales; Enterobacteriaceae.